This is a long non-coding RNA of Cynoglossus semilaevis (tongue sole), 1071 nucleotides long. RefSeq lists it as uncharacterized. The transcript is spliced from 2 exons. NCBI's taxonomy places the organism in Eukaryota, Metazoa, Chordata, Actinopteri, Pleuronectiformes, Cynoglossidae. The record is from RefSeq and is a predicted model, not a curated record.
AAUGUUUUGUUUAUACUUCAGCGGAAAGUUCUGGGAAACCAGGUAUUGACGGAGAAAGAAAACAAACAACAGAUUUCCAUUGACGGCCAGAAAAGUGAAAAAGAUUAGUCAACUUUAAGAGGAGACAACCUUGUUGUGAUGUUUGGGAAAUGGUAACAAUUUUUCACACCUUGUUUUUACCCCAUUUUUUUCCAAUAGGAAUUUUCCCGACCUUAUUCUUUAGCUUUAUAAUAUAUAUGUUACAUGUUACAUACAAGUUAAUUCUGUUACAACCUUUUAGUUUCCAUCUGAGGUUAAAAAAAUAGUUAUUUGGACAGUCAUUUGAUCUAGCUUUAAAAUUUUAUUGCUUUUAAUUUAAGAUUCAAACACUUUGUAUUUAUUUUUUAUAGCGUGUGUUUUUGGGGAUGUGCUUCUUGGUUAAAAUUUAGUUGAACGUUCGUCAGAACAGAUUAUUCGAACGUGCCUUAUAUUUAUCUUACAUCAUAAUUUAAUUUUUUUCAAACUACUAUUGAAAAUAUUCAGUUUCCUUUUUUUCCUCCUCGUUAGUAAUUUUCGACAAGGUGUUGAUUAAAGGUUCUGCUCAUGUAGUUUAUUUGCAGAUCCAUUUACUCGUCACAACUUUUUUACACUGUAAACCUUAAACUACUGCUUCAGGGUGAUACUUUUAAUGCAAUGUUUUCAGGAAACUUUUGAAGUCUUAUGCAACUUUUUUUUUACCAUAUUGUUAUGUUUAUUACUCCCCCUUCCCCGCUGUUUAUUGCAUAUAUUUUUUACACAUUGCAGAAUUUUUAACCAUUGUUUUUGAUAGUUUUUUCAUUGCAUGCAAGUGAUGAUAAAUGUUCUGCCGUGGUUGUCAACCUUUAAUGGGAGAAUUUGAGCCAAUUUGAAAUGCACCUUGGUGUCUAACACAUUCAGUAGCAGUUUUCUAGUGAAGUGGUCUAUCUGCUAAGCUGUGAUAAAAUGGGAUUAGUGCCUCAUGUUCAUUUCAACUGACCAUGAAGACUUACUGUGGACAUUGGUGCUACUGUGAAGCUAUGCAACCCACUGUAAUUAAAAGACAUCAAGCUGUGG